RNAcentral lists this ribosomal RNA (445 nucleotides) under uncultured bacterium. RNAcentral's name for it is "bacterial SSU rRNA". It matches the Rfam family "Bacterial small subunit ribosomal RNA", at positions 505 to 949 of the family's 1533-position model. The record is from RNAcentral.
GUGCCAGCAGCCGCGGUAAUACGUAGGGUGCGAGCGUUAAUCGGAAUUACUGGGCGUAAAGCGAGCGCAGACGGUUAAAUAAGUCAGAUGUGAAAUCCCCGAGCUCAACUUGGGACGUGCAUUUGAAACUGUGUAACUAGAGUGUGUCAGAGGGAGGUAGAAUUCCACGUGUAGCAGUGAAAUGCGUAGAGAUGUGGAGGAAUACCGAUGGCGAAGGCAGGUCUCUGGGCUGUUACUGACGCUGAGGAGCGAAAGCGUGGGGAGCGAACAGGAUUAGAUACCCUGGUAGUCCACGCCCUAAACGAUGACAAUUAGCUGUUGGGGUACUAGUUACCUUAGUAGCGAAGCUAACGCGUGAAAUUGUCCGCCUGGGGAGUACGGUCGCAAGAUUAAAACUCAAAGGAAUUGACGGGGACCCGCACAAGCGGUGGAUGAUGUGGAUUAA